GACGAACGCUGGCGGCGUGUUUAACACAUGCAAGUCGAACGGAAAGGCCCUGCUUUUGUGGGGUGCUCGAGUGGCGAACGGGUGAGUAACACGUGAGUAACCUGCCCUUGACUUUGGGAUAACUUCAGGAAACUGGAGCUAAUACCGGAUAGGAGCUCCUGCUGCAUGGUGGGGGUUGGAAAGUUUCGGCGGUUGGGGAUGGACUCGCGGCUUAUCAGCUUGUUGGUGGGGUAGUGGCUUACCAAGGCUUUGACGGGUAGCCGGCCUGAGAGGGUGACCGGCCACAUUGGGACUGAGAUACGGCCCAGACUCCUACGGGAGGCAGCAGUGGGGAAUAUUGCACAAUGGGCGGAAGCCUGAUGCAGCAACGCCGCGUGCGGGAUGACGGCCUUCGGGUUGUAAACCGCUUUCGCCUGUGACGAAGCGUGAGUGACGGUAAUGGGUAAAGAAGCACCGGCUAACUACGUG
RNAcentral lists this ribosomal RNA (468 nucleotides) under uncultured bacterium. RNAcentral describes it as "partial 16S ribosomal RNA". It matches the Rfam family "Bacterial small subunit ribosomal RNA", at positions 28 to 507 of the family's 1533-position model. The record is from RNAcentral.